RNAcentral lists this transfer RNA (73 nucleotides) under Danionella cerebrum. Its description in RNAcentral is "tRNA-Glu". It matches the Rfam family "tRNA". Rfam says of the family: Transfer RNA (tRNA) molecules are approximately 80 nucleotides in length. Their secondary structure includes four short double-helical elements and three loops (D, anti-codon, and T loops). The record is from RNAcentral. Lineage: Eukaryota; Metazoa; Chordata; Actinopteri; Cypriniformes; Danionidae.
UCCCUGAUGGUCUAGUGGUCAGGAUUCGGCGCUUUCACCGCCAUUGGCCCUGGUUGGAUUCCCGGUCAAGGAA